This 381-nucleotide ribosomal RNA is filed under the name uncultured soil bacterium. RNAcentral's name for it is "bacterial SSU rRNA". It matches the Rfam family "Bacterial small subunit ribosomal RNA", at positions 26 to 403 of the family's 1533-position model. The record is from RNAcentral.
AGAUUGAACGCUGGCGGCAGGCCUAACACAUGCAAGUCGAGCGGUAGAGAGGUGCUUGCACCUCUUGAGAGCGGCGGACGGGUGAGUGAUGCCUAGGAAUCUGCCUAGUGGUGGGGGAUAACGUUCGGAAACGGACGCUAAUACCGCAUACGUCCUACGGGAGAAAGCGGGGGACCUUCGGGCCUCGCGCCAUUAGAUGAGCCUAGGUCGGAUUAGCUAGUUGGUGAGGUAAUGGCUCACCAAGGCGACGAUCCGUAACUGGUCUGAGAGGAUGAUCAGUCACACUGGAACUGAGACACGGUCCAGACUCCUACGGGAGGCAGCAGGUGGGGGAAUAUUGGACAAGUGGGGACGAAAGCCUGAUCCAGCCAUCGCCGCGUG